AUUUUCCUGAGGUGUGCGUAACGCUUAUAAUGUUCAACCGACAGAUGUUAUACGGGAUCUUUUAAACUUUUUCAAUUAUGUCAGGCUUCCGGUAAGGUGAAACUCCUUAUUAAUCCUUUAGGAUUCUGAAGUAGACAGACUUGAAAUGCGAAGAACCCACCUGCUUAGUGGCGGGUAUGAACAUAUAAGUUAACGGCAUUUUGGGUGUAAU
This 211-nucleotide non-coding RNA is filed under the name Clostridium collagenovorans DSM 3089. Its description in RNAcentral is "6S / SsrS RNA". It matches the Rfam family "6S / SsrS RNA". Rfam says of the family: E. coli 6S RNA was the first non coding RNA to be sequenced, but its function was unknown until recently. It consists of 184 nucleotides that fold into an extended hairpin structure with a large single-stranded internal bulge. Lineage: Bacteria; Bacillati; Bacillota; Clostridia; Eubacteriales; Clostridiaceae. The record is from Rfam by way of RNAcentral.